CGCCUUGCGCUUGGGGCAAUGACGCAUCUAGUGAGGUUAUACCGAGGCGCGUCAAUUGCUGGUUGAAAACUAUUUCCAAACCCCCUCUUUGGCCUUCAUGGGUCACUGAGAAUUAUUGGAAGGGUUCCCUCCUAGUGAGGGUAAAACC
Molecule: non-coding RNA, 148 nt
Organism: Triticum aestivum (bread wheat)
Lineage: Eukaryota; Viridiplantae; Streptophyta; Magnoliopsida; Poales; Poaceae
Source: Rfam